This is a long non-coding RNA of Lepisosteus oculatus (spotted gar), 809 nucleotides long. RefSeq lists it as uncharacterized. The record is from RefSeq and is a predicted model, not a curated record. NCBI's taxonomy places the organism in Eukaryota, Metazoa, Chordata, Actinopteri, Semionotiformes, Lepisosteidae.
GGUUGGAAGGAGUGAAGUGAACGGCGAUAUACAGAGGGAACAGAUGGCUUUCAGUGCACAACAGCACUCCACUGAGCAUUUAUCUGCCAAGACCUGAAAUAACCCAGUGGGCUCCAUGUGACCUUUUACACAGCAGCAAGAAGUCUGGCAGGAAGGUGCCCUUAAGAUGCCCUAUGGAUGCGUACAAGGUCUUCCCUUCAUGCAUCUGUCUUGCAUCCCUCCUACCACCCCAUCUACACCCUUGGAGCAGCUCCUUAGCUCAUUCCUCACUAGGAAGUGAUGGAGGGUUUGGGCAGCCUCAUACUCAUGGGUAGACUCAGGUGAGAUACAGUACAUCCUUCUAUUGCAUUCAUUAAGAUCUAACUAAACUACACUUCUGCCCAUUCUCCCCAGGGUCUCAAUUUUAGUGUUAACCUCCUGUUCUUGUUCUGGAUCCUUCUCCGGAUUUUAACCCUGUCUUGUCUUGGAUGGAUCACCCGGUUUGGAUUUUGGACUGUGCCCGGAUUUCCUGUUUUGGACUUGUUAGCCUGCGCUCCCCCCUUGCACCUGAUCACUACCUGCACCGCCCCCUGUUCACCCUUCCAUUCCUGACUUAAAAAAAAAUAUUUUUCAUUUAUUUAUUUUAUUUAAAUACAAAAAGGGAAAAUACAACAAACGGAGGUAUAUACUGUACAUGCAAAUAUACAGAUGUCUCAACAUGACACAACAAGGUAGCAACAAGUAAAUGAAACAGGGGAAAAAGAAAAAAACAAAAACACACAAAAAAAACAAAAAAAAAAACCUAUUUGUCUAUAGUACAGAGGUUAUGU